ACAAGCGUGGAUGAUGUGAUUAAUCGAUGCAACGCGAAAACCUUACCUACCCUUGACAUGUCUGGAACCUUGCUGAGAGGCGAGGGUGCCUUCGGAGCCAGAACACAGGUGCUGCAUGGCUGUCGUCAGUUCGUGUCGUGAGAUGUUGGGUUAAGUCCCGCAACGAGCCGCAACCCUUGUCAUUAGUUGCCAUCAUUUAGUUGGGCACUCUGAUGAGACUGCCGGUGACAAACCGGAGGAAGGUGGGGAUGACGUCAAGUCCUCAUGGCCCUUAUGGGUAGGGCUUCACACGUCAUACAAUGGUCGGUACAGAGGGUUGCCAAGCCGCGAGGUGGAGCCAAUCCCUUAAAGCCGAUCGUAGUCCGGAUCGUAGUCUGCAACUCGACUACGUGAAGUCGGAAUCGCUAGUAAUCGCAGAUCAGCAUGCUGCGGUGAAUACGUUCCCGGGCCUU
Molecule: ribosomal RNA, 452 nt
Filed under: uncultured Thauera sp.
Lineage: Bacteria; Pseudomonadati; Pseudomonadota; Betaproteobacteria; Rhodocyclales; Zoogloeaceae
Description: bacterial SSU rRNA
Rfam family: Bacterial small subunit ribosomal RNA
Source: RNAcentral